RNAcentral lists this long non-coding RNA (226 nucleotides) under Gossypium barbadense (sea-island cotton). RNAcentral's name for it is "long non-coding RNA (GBAR_LNC022598)". Lineage: Eukaryota; Viridiplantae; Streptophyta; Magnoliopsida; Malvales; Malvaceae. The record is from RNAcentral.
GUUUCUUUUGUUCUUCUUCUUCUUCAAUUCUUAUCUUUUCAAGCUGUGCCACACCAAGUCCUCUUUGGGGGUACCUUUUUAGGCCUUUGCUUUUUGAAAGAUCUACCAAUAUUAUUGUUCCCAAUUCCACCUCCACUGCUUGUGGUAUUUCUACAUCUUUGGGUUUGGUUUUCAUCUUCGCUUUUACUAGCUUCCAUAUAAAACAAACAAUUUUUCCGAAAGUUUG